RNAcentral lists this ribosomal RNA (452 nucleotides) under uncultured bacterium. Its description in RNAcentral is "partial 16S ribosomal RNA". It matches the Rfam family "Bacterial small subunit ribosomal RNA", at positions 29 to 523 of the family's 1533-position model. The record is from RNAcentral.
AACGAACGCUGGCGGCAUGCCUAACACAUACAAGUCGAACGAUGUCUUUCGGGGCAUAGUGGCGCACGGGUGCGUAACGCGUGGGAAUCUGCCCUUGGGUUCGGAAUAACCGUUGGAAACGACGGCUAAUACCGGAUGAUGUCGAUAAGACCAAAGAUUUAUCGCCUGAGGAUGAGCCCGCGUAGGAUUAGCUAGUUGGUGUGGUAAGAGCGCACCAAGGCGACGAUCCUUAGCUGGUCUGAGAGGAUGAUCAGCCACACUGGGACUGAGACACGGCCCAGACUCCUACGGGAGGCAGCAGUGGGGAAUAUUGGACAAUGGGCGCAAGCCUGAUCCAGCAAUGCCGCGUGAGUGAUGAAGGCCUUAGGGUUGUAAAGCUCUUUUACCCGGGAUGAUAAUGACAGUACCGGGAGAAUAAGCUCCGGCUAACUCCGUGCCAGCCGCCGCGGUAA